GGCGGGUUGGCGUAAUGGUAACGCGUCAGUUUCCGGUCGAGUUAGCAAGCCCAGCUGAAGAAUCCGGGUUCGAGUCCCGGGCCUGUCG
This is a transfer RNA of Termitomyces sp. J132, 88 nucleotides long. It matches the Rfam family "tRNA". Rfam says of the family: Transfer RNA (tRNA) molecules are approximately 80 nucleotides in length. Their secondary structure includes four short double-helical elements and three loops (D, anti-codon, and T loops). Further hydrogen bonds mediate the characteristic L-shaped molecular structure. tRNAs have two regions of fundamental functional importance: the anti-codon, which is responsible for specific mRNA codon recognition, and the 3' end, to which the tRNAs corresponding amino acid is attached (by aminoacyl-tRNA synthetases). tRNAs cope with the degeneracy of the genetic code in two manners: having more than one tRNA (with a specific anti-codon) for a particular amino acid; and 'wobble' base-pairing, i.e. permitting non-standard base-pairing at the 3rd anti-codon position. The record is from Rfam. Lineage: Eukaryota; Fungi; Basidiomycota; Agaricomycetes; Agaricales; Lyophyllaceae.